UAGGGAAUAUUGGACAAUGGGUGCGAGCCUGAUCCAGCCAUGCCGCGUGCAGGAAGACGGCCUUCUGGGUUGUAAACUGCUUUUGCCAGGGGAUAAAAAGUCCCUGCGGGGAAAAUUGAAGGUACCUGGUGAAUAAGCCACGGCUAACUACGUGCCAGCAGCCGCGGUAAUACGUAGGUGGCAAGCGUUGUCCGGAUUUAUUGGGUUUAAAGGGUGCGUAGGUUGUUUUGUAAGUCAGUGGUGAAAUCCGGCAGCUCAACUGUCGAUGUGCCAUUGAUACUGCAGAACUUGAGUACAGACGAGGUAGGCGGAAUUGACGGUGUAGCGGUGAAAUGCUUAGAUAUCGUCAAGAACACCGAUAGCGAAGGCAGCUUACUAGACUGUAACUGACACUGAUGCA
Molecule: ribosomal RNA, 400 nt
Filed under: uncultured bacterium
Lineage: Bacteria
Description: bacterial SSU rRNA
Rfam family: Bacterial small subunit ribosomal RNA
Source: RNAcentral